Long non-coding RNA from Pristis pectinata (smalltooth sawfish), 1150 nucleotides. RefSeq lists it as uncharacterized. NCBI's taxonomy places the organism in Eukaryota, Metazoa, Chordata, Chondrichthyes, Rhinopristiformes, Pristidae. The transcript has 4 exons. The record is from RefSeq and is a predicted model, not a curated record.
GGAGGGGCCAACUGGCGACGCCCAAUCAGCUCCCCAGACCAUUGAAGGCGCUUCGUCCGGCUUCAUCCGCCCAUCGGUCAGCGCCCUGAGGCCGGCUUCCCGCCCUCGGGCAGCGGGCAUGGCAGGAUCAGAGAGGCGCCUCGCCCACCGUGAAGAGCAAGAAUAAACAGGAAAUAAUGUCAUCAUCUAAUAAUCCUUGGUCCUCAUCUCAGGAUGACAACGAAAGUUCCAAGCUUCUGAGAAAGUCAAAGGAAUCACCAUUCAUUCCAAUAGGUAUUGCGGGAUGCCUUGCUAUUGUGGCAUUGGGUUUACACAGACUGCGCAAAACAGAACAGAAGAUGUCACUGCAUCUAAUCCACAUGAGAGUGGCUGCUCAAGGCUUUGUGGUUGGAGCAAUGACGUUGGGUGUCCUCUACUCCAUGUAUAAUGACUACCUCAGGAAACCUCGACAAGGAUAGCAACCCUUGGCAAGAGUGAAGGUCUUGUGUUUGGACUGGAGUCAGGCCUUGACUCAAUUAACUGAUCUGCAGUGGAUUUUGGAAGCAUGGUUGAGGACAGGUGUGCACAGUGUUUUCAGUGAGUUGAAGCUUUCAGUAAAGCUUUCUUCCUGUGGUACACAUGAGUACACACAGUUGUUUGACCUUUAUUACCAAGACCCUGGAGCAGCUGAGGGCUUGGUGCCUCUGCAGUGAAGCAGCCACUCAGAAGUGUGCUGUCUGAGAUUAUUGCAUGGGGAGGCUGCUCUCGUUUCCACUCCAGAACUGCUCACUACCACACAACAUCCUUCAUCACACUGACACUCCCGCAACUUCAUUUCGCUUCUACGUAGAUCUUCCUGCUGAUAGAGCUACGUGGUCAGAGUAUUCUGUUCAGUAUCUGAGGGGUGUCUUACGUGAACACAGGGUGUGUAAUGCAGAAGGCCUUGUCUCUCUAUAGCAGCGUUGUUUCUCUGGGACCCAAUCCUGUCUCUCCCUCUUUCUCCAUUAAUUCUGACCCAGCAAUCGCCUGAGUCCCAGGCCCCUGCCAACUACCCAUCACUGCACUGAUUUCCCCCCCAUAACAUCACCAACCUCUGCGGCCAUUUUCAGUUAUAAUUUAAGUUCUCCACCCCAAUUUUAUUUCUGACUGGUGCUACAAAACAGAUAAGUGU